AUGAUGAGUCCAAAAAUGCAUCAUGUUUUACUUCUAAUUUUGUACCGUGGUUAUAGGAUUCGUCGGAAUUUUACCGCGGUCGCACACCUUUUUAUUGAUUUUAAUAGGAUCCUUAACAUGGAGGAGUCAUUGAGGCAAAUUAAAGAAAUCUUGAGAUAUGGUGUGACAAUAACGUUGAUUUACAUGACAAAAACAUACCAGGAAAGGCACAGGUCAAGAAAGGCGGAAACCAGCCGCAACAGGGAUUCCAUGGGAGAAGACAACAUACGGUACGAGCAUGCAUGCUCGUACCAGCUGCCGCCACCGCCUGUUCAACUAUUUUAA
RNAcentral lists this ribosomal RNA (324 nucleotides) under Triticum aestivum (bread wheat). RNAcentral describes it as "partial small subunit ribosomal RNA". Lineage: Eukaryota; Viridiplantae; Streptophyta; Magnoliopsida; Poales; Poaceae. The record is from RNAcentral.